This 281-nucleotide ribosomal RNA is filed under the name Fusicatenibacter saccharivorans. Its description in RNAcentral is "partial 16S ribosomal RNA". It matches the Rfam family "Bacterial small subunit ribosomal RNA", at positions 496 to 776 of the family's 1533-position model. Lineage: Bacteria; Bacillati; Bacillota; Clostridia; Lachnospirales; Lachnospiraceae. The record is from RNAcentral.
UAUAAUUGUUUGCCAGCAGCCGCGGUAAUACGUAGGGGGCAAGCGUUAUCCGGAUUUACUGGGUGUAAAGGGAGCGUAGACGGCAAGGCAAGUCUGAUGUGAAAACCCAGGGCUUAACCCUGGGACUGCAUUGGAAACUGUCUGGCUCGAGUGCCGGAGAGGUAAGCGGAAUUCCUAGUGUAGCGGUGAAAUGCGUAGAUAUUAGGAAGAACACCAGUGGCGAAGGCGGCUUACUGGACGGUAACUGACGUUGAGGCUCGAAAGCGUGGGGAGCAAACAGG